This 1488-nucleotide ribosomal RNA is filed under the name Triticum aestivum (bread wheat). RNAcentral's name for it is "partial small subunit ribosomal RNA". Lineage: Eukaryota; Viridiplantae; Streptophyta; Magnoliopsida; Poales; Poaceae. The record is from RNAcentral.
AUGGGGAAGUUUACUGCUGUUGCUGCAUUGCACCUUUUACUUUUUAUUCCCACUUUGGCAUUGCACGCCCGUGCAUCUCAGGAGGCCCAUCUCACCAAAUUCAUUUUAUCUAGAAGAAGAAGCACCACCACCACCACCACCACUAGUGAUCCUACUUUAUAUGACAAGUCAGUUCUCGGCAGCCUCCGAACAGAUGAGUACCCCGCCUCCGACCACGGUGCUCUGAAGGUGGCCGACAAGAUCCCGGCCCUGCCAGGGCAGCCAAAGGGUGUUGACUUCGACCAGUACGGUGGGUACGUGAUUGUCGGCAGCCACAAUGGCCGCGCUCUCUUCUACUACUUCGUUGAAGCGCCCGGCGAUGCGACGGCGAAACCACUCCUCCUCUGGCUCAACGGAGGGCCUGGAUGCUCGUCGCUCGGCCAUGGAGCAAUGCGAGAAUUGGGUCCUUUCCGUGCAAACAGGGACGGCAAAACCCUCACGAGGAACAAGCAUGCCUGGAACAACGUCGCCAACGUCAUCUUCCUGGAAUCACCCGCCGGCGUGGGAUUCUCCUACUCAAACACGUCUUCCGACUAUGACAAGAUGGGGGAUCCAAUGGCUGCCCAGGACGCCUACGUCUUCCUCGUCAGCUGGCUCGACAUGUUCCCCGAGUACAAGGCACGCCCCUUGUACAUCACCGGGGAGAGCUAUGCCGGUCACUACAUCCCCCAACUCGCCGCCACCAUCUUAGCACACAACAGGGGUCUACCGAAGCGGAAGUGUAACCACAAGGGUAUCAUGGUCGGCAACCCUUACCUCGACAAGAUGAAAAACCUCAUAGGGCACUACAAGUACCUGUGGAGCCACGGUGCCAUCUCCGAUGAGGUUUGGGCUGACAUCGCUGGCGGCUGCAGCAUCAACGAGUCCUCCAUCAGUGCGAGGUGCUACCAGGCCAUUACCGAAUGUCAGGACGGCAUCCUGGAUCACGAUAACAUAUACGCUCCCACUUGCAUCAUCGCUUCCAACGGCUCCUACUACUCCAGCACUUACUUGCCCGGAUAUGAUCCAUGCAGCUAUGUGCCUACCAAGGACUACCUCAACAGUCCUCAAGUUCAGAAGGCUCUCCAUGCCAGAGAAACCAAAUGGCUCGAUUGCAGAUCCUUUGAGGACUUCAAGGACUCACCGGACACCAUGGUGCCAACAUUGAAACGGCUAAUUGACCACGGCCUGCCCAUAUGGCUCUUCAGCGGGGAUUUCGACUCCGUUUGCCCCUUCACCGGCACCAAGUACACGAUCCGCGACCUCAACCUCUCCGUUACAGAGCCAUGGCGUCCAUGGACGGCCGGCCACGAGGUAGGGGGCUAUGUCCAGCAGUACGCAGGAGGGUUCACCUUCGCCACCGUGAGAGGAGCCGGGCACAUGGUCCCGGCGUUCCAACCCGAGAGAGCGAUGAUACUGCUCCAGUCCUUUCUCACAGGGAUCCUCCCUGCAUUCACCAAGGAGUACUAG